This is a long non-coding RNA of Cyprinus carpio carpio, 1656 nucleotides long. Lineage: Eukaryota; Metazoa; Chordata; Actinopteri; Cypriniformes; Cyprinidae. The record is from Ensembl.
UGCUGCCCUCAAAUCAGCUGUGCAAGCAGUUGGAGUUUGUGUAUCACUAGAGUCUCCAAAGUCACAUUAAAUUGGAGUUUGUGUAUUACUAGAGUCUACAAAGUGACAUUAAAUUGGAGUUUGUGUAUCACUAGAGUCCCCAAAGUGACAUUAAAUUGGAGUUUGUGUAUCACUAGAGUCCCCAAAGUGACAUUAAAUUGGAGUUUGUGUAUCACUAGAGUCACCAAAGUGACAUUAAAUUGGAGUUUGUGUAUCACUAGAGUCUACAAAAUCACAUUAAAUUCGAGUUUGUGUAUCAUUAAAGUCUACAAAGUCAUAUUAAAUUGGAGUUUGUGUAUCACUAGAGUCUACAAAGUGAUAUUAAAUUGGAGUUUGUGUAUCACUAGAGUCCCCAAAGUCACAUUAAAUUGGAGUUUUUGUAUCAUUAAAGUCUACAAAGUCACAUUAAAUUGGAGUUUGUGUAUCACUAGAGUCUACAAAGUCACAUUAAAUUGGAGUUUUUGUAUCAUUAAAGUCUACAAAGUCAUAUUAAAUUGGAGUUUGUGUAUUACUAGAGUCUACAAAGUCACAUUAGAUUGGAGUUUGUGUAUCACUAGAGUCUACAAAGUCACAUUAAAUUGGAGUCACCACUGUAUUCCAAACAUUGAAGUCAUUCACUUGACAAUUUAAGUAAUUUUUAUUUGUAUAGAACUUUUUACAAUCAUCAGAAAGUCAUGUCUUAAAUGUUUUAUGGAUAGUAUUUUUGAAAAUAAAUACAAAUUGAACUAGAGAGGUGCAGGCAGUUGUCAUGGCAUGAUUCUUUGCCAUAGAGACACUUGUUUUUAAAGUAAUAAAUAUUACUGUUCCGUGAUCUUCAUUAGGCAUUUCCCUGGGGCUGAAAUGUUUUAUAUUUUUGUUGAAAUCAUGAACAGGAUCCCUUUUUUUUUAUUGUUUAUUGGCAGUGGCCUACAUCUUGUGCUCCUAUUAAUGACAAUGCAGGUGUGAUGGCCUAAUUGUUAAAAGUAACCAAUCAUAAAUGAGUAAGAAAAAAACAUUUUCAAUUCUCUUAAGACAGUUAUGCAGUGGAAAAGCUUACCAAUCCAUAACCAUCAAAUAGGAAAAAACAACUUUACCAUGUCAAACGUUUACGUCAUAUUCCAAUAUUUGAACUUGGAAUUGUACUUCUGUUUCUAAUUAGCAUAAAUUAUAUGUAUCUUCUAAAAGUCCUUAAAGUAUAUCACAACCAGAGAUUGUGUAUCAACAUAGUCCUCAAAGUUUCACUUGAUAAGAGUUUGUGUUUGUCCUCAAAUUGGACAUAAAAAAUACUGUCCCCAAAGUGAGGUAAAAAGUCAGGUCUGUAAAGAAGGUUUUAAUUGAAAAUAUCAAGUGAUAUUUGUACUGAAGGCUUCAUCUGUAGUGCAGUUAUAUCUUUCUCUUGUCUCUAGACCAUUCAGAAAGGGAUGUACCCAAAGGUAGGGUGUUCAGUCAUAGGUCCUCAUUGGGGGGUUAAGCAGGUAUGUGUGUGUGUGCGUGUGUGAAAAAAACUCAGAUGUAACCCUCUUUGCAAUCUUUAACAUGUUCAUAAGUAACUAUAACAUUUUUUUUGUAAUUAAAUUACGUAAUUCCGUUACAUGUAACUACACUAAACAAAAUUAUGAAUGCAACACUUUUGUUUUU